Molecule: ribosomal RNA, 254 nt
Filed under: uncultured bacterium
Lineage: Bacteria
Description: partial 16S ribosomal RNA
Rfam family: Bacterial small subunit ribosomal RNA
Source: RNAcentral
CACGUAGGGGGCGAGCGUUGUCCGGAUUUAUUGGGCGUAAAGAGCUCGUAGGCGGCUCAGUAAGUCAGGUGUGAAAACUCCAGGCUCAACCUGGAGACGCCACCUGAUACUGCUGUGGCUAGAGUCCGGUAGGGGAGCAUGGAAUUCCUGGUGUAGCGGUGAAAUGCGCAGAUAUCAGGAGGAACACCGAUGGCGAAGGCAGGUCUCUGGGACGUUACUGACGCUGAGACGCGAAAGCGUGGGGAGCAAACAGG